AGGGGAAGCAGGAUAAGGGGAAGGGGGAAGAGGGAAAUUUGGAGGAAGGGAAAGGGGAGGAGGAGGCAGGGCAGAGGAUGGAUGUAGACGAAGUGGAUGAGGAAGCACUGCUGAAGGAUCCAUUCUGGGACCAGCUGGAGAAAGGACUCAUAGAAGUUUCAUUUGAAACCGACAUGUAUUCAAAGGUGAAAAACAGGAGAGCCGUGUUGGAUGCUAAGCGGGAGGAGAAAGAGAGCAAGCAGAAGGAAGAUGAACGUAGCAAGAA
This is a long non-coding RNA of Strongylocentrotus purpuratus (purple sea urchin), 265 nucleotides long. RefSeq lists it as uncharacterized. The record is from RefSeq and is a predicted model, not a curated record. The transcript has 2 exons. NCBI's taxonomy places the organism in Eukaryota, Metazoa, Echinodermata, Echinoidea, Camarodonta, Strongylocentrotidae.